Molecule: ribosomal RNA, 468 nt
Filed under: uncultured bacterium
Lineage: Bacteria
Description: partial 16S ribosomal RNA
Rfam family: Bacterial small subunit ribosomal RNA
Source: RNAcentral
GACGAACGCUGGCGGCGUGCUUAACACAUGCAAGUCGAACGGAAAGGCCCUGCUUUUGUGGGGUGCUCGAGUGGCGAACGGGUGAGUAACACGUGAGUAACCUGCCCUUGACUUUGGGAUAACUUCAGGAAACUGGGGCUAAUACCGGAUAGGAGCUCCUGCUGCAUGGUGGGGGUUGGAAAGUUUCGGCGGUUGGGGAUGGACUCGCGGCUUAUCAGCUUGUUGGUGGGGUAGUGGCUUACCAAGGCUUUGACGGGUAGCCGGCCUGAGAGGGUGACCGGCCACAUUGGGACUGAGAUACGGCCCAGACGCCUACGGGAGGCAGCAGUGGGGAAUAUUGCAAAAUGGGCGGAAGCCGGAUGCAGCAACGCCGCGUGCGGGAUGACGGCCUUCGGGUUGUAAACCGCUUUCGCCUGGGACGAAGCGGGAGUGACGGAAAUGGGUAAAGAAGCACCGGCUAACUACGUG